RNAcentral lists this ribosomal RNA (254 nucleotides) under uncultured bacterium. Its description in RNAcentral is "partial 16S ribosomal RNA". It matches the Rfam family "Bacterial small subunit ribosomal RNA", at positions 524 to 776 of the family's 1533-position model. The record is from RNAcentral.
UACGUAGGGUGCAAGCGUUGUCCGGAAUUAUUGGGCGUAAAGAGCUCGUAGGCGGUUUGUCGCGUCGAAUGUGAAAACCCGGGGCUCAACUCCGGGCCUGCAUUCGAUACGGGCAGACUAGAGUUCGGUAGGGGAGUCUGGAAUUCCUGGUGUAGCGGUGAAAUGCGCAGAUAUCAGGAGGAACACCGGUGGCGAAGGCGGGACUCUGGGCCGAUACUGACGCUGGAGGAGCGAAAGCGUGGGGAGCAAACAGG